RNAcentral lists this unclassified non-coding RNA (344 nucleotides) under Hevea brasiliensis (rubber tree). Lineage: Eukaryota; Viridiplantae; Streptophyta; Magnoliopsida; Malpighiales; Euphorbiaceae. The record is from RNAcentral.
GAAGCAAGCAAGUCUCUUUGGCUUUUUGGCUCGCAAGAAGCCAGAGUGAUACUGGGCGUUGAAAAUACAGUGACCGAGCAUGGAAGCAUCGAGAAAAAUGGCUUGGCACUGGCAUUUCUUGGGUUUCUUCUUUCUCAGUUUGCACGUAUUCUCUGCAAAAGCCAAAGCUUCGCAGUGCUCAAUCAAGGGGUUGCCACUUGUGAGGAAUAUUAGUGAGCUUCCUCAGGAUGAUCAUGGAAUUCGAGGCUUGUCCCAUAUUACCGUUGCUGGCUCUGUCUUGCAUGGGAUGAAAGAGGUGGAGGUAUGGCUUCAAACGUUUUCUCCAGGGGCAUGCACGCCAAUCC